GGAGGAGUAAACCCUAGAAUCUCUCUAAUUAUGGACAUUCACCUAAAAUAGGAGAUUUUAUAGCAUAUUUGGCAAUAUAAAAUUUAGAAAAUCUAGUUGAGCGAUUUUCUAAGUCCUAUAGGCAUAAUUAAGUGAUUUUAUUGUUAUAAUAAAAAAAAGUAACUUUAAUAAAUAAUUUGGAAUAGUUGAGUAACCAUUUGAAUAAUGAACUCGUUAUAUGACUCUAUUAAAAGACUCUUGGGUUUAUAGCCUCUACGUCAUAAUGCGAUCGCUAUAUCGUCAGGAUUUCCUGGCAAAAUUCUUGGUGAUCAUCAGGAUAUUGUCAUAAAUUCAGACGGAUCAUUAGAAUUUUGUUAGCGUCGUAGCAAAUGGCCAGUAUUCCUAGUGCUUUACGUUAGGAUUUGAUUUUUGGCCAAACCAUGGUAAUUAAUACUUUUUCCGUUUCAAUUUAUGUGAAUCUGUUUGACUGAGCAUGGAGUUUAAGAAAAAAUAAAAGACUUAAAAAUUUGUCAUUAAG
This 517-nucleotide long non-coding RNA is filed under the name Nicotiana benthamiana. RNAcentral describes it as "long non-coding RNA (NBEN_LNC042637)". The record is from RNAcentral. Lineage: Eukaryota; Viridiplantae; Streptophyta; Magnoliopsida; Solanales; Solanaceae.